Long non-coding RNA from Melanotaenia boesemani (Boeseman's rainbowfish), 378 nucleotides. RefSeq lists it as uncharacterized. The transcript is spliced from 3 exons. The record is from RefSeq and is a predicted model, not a curated record. NCBI's taxonomy places the organism in Eukaryota, Metazoa, Chordata, Actinopteri, Atheriniformes, Melanotaeniidae.
CACUGUUACUACUGCCCAUUAAGUUAUUCAGUCUUCAUUUGCUGCUGUUAACUAUGAGUAGUUAUAAUUUCUUACAUUUUUGGGAACACCUGAACGUCUCAAAGACGAACCCCCUGCAGAUUUAGCUGUUACGCCCCGUAGCUUCGCCACAGUCUGUCACCAGCAAGACUCGUGUGUGUGUGGCAGAGCUGAGACUGUGGGAGCUGACGAACCUUUCUUUAUGUUCAAAAAUCCAGAACAUGCCAAUAAAGAGGCGUCAGAGACUCGACAUUGAAUGGCUUGUGAUUUCUGAGCACCACAACGCAUGUGAGAGUACUAAAACCGCUACACACGCAUGAUGGGAGAUGGUGGUGAAAGUGACGUCCUUCCAUCACUGCU